UGUUCUUCGUGAACUAGCGAACUGCUCAGUAACACGUGGAUAACCUCCCCUUAGGUCCGGAAUAACCCCGGGAAACUGGGGAUAAUACCGGAUAAGCCAUAGACGCUGGAAUGCCCUAUGGUUCAAAGCUCCGGCGCCUAAGGAUGGAUCUGCGGUCUAUCAGGUUGUAGUGGGUGUAACGUACCUACUAGCCGACGACGGAUACGGGUUGUGAGAGCAAGAGCCCGGAGAUGGAUUCUGAGACACGAAUCCAGGCCCUACGGGGUGCAGCAGGCGCGAACACUUUACAAUGCGGGAAACCGCGAUAAGGGAACCCCGAGUGCCAGCAUCAAAUGUUGGCUGUCCAGAUGAUUAAAAAUCAUUUGUUAGCAAGGGCCGGGCAAGACCGGUGCCAGCCGCCGCGGUAACACCGGCGGCCCGAGUGGUAGCCGUUUUUAUUGGGUCUAAAGGGUCCGUAGCCGGCCUGAUAAGUCCUUUGGGAAAUCUGGCAGCUUAACUGUCAGGCUUCUAAGGGAUACUGUCA
RNAcentral lists this ribosomal RNA (523 nucleotides) under archaeon enrichment culture clone R3-1e5. RNAcentral describes it as "bacterial SSU rRNA". It matches the Rfam family "Archaeal small subunit ribosomal RNA", at positions 62 to 589 of the family's 1478-position model. The record is from RNAcentral.